GACGAACGCUGGCGGCGUGCUUAACACAUGCAAGUCGAACGGUGAAGCGCCUUCCUUUUUGGUGGGUGUGGAUGAGUGGCGAACGGGUGAGUAACACGUGAGUAACCUGCCCCCUUCUUCUGGAUAACCGCAUGAAAGUGUGGCUAAUACGGGAUAUUCUGAGUCUGUCGCAUGAUGGGUCUGGGAAAGAUAUUGUUUCGGUGGGGGAUGGGCUCGCGGCCUAUCAGCUUGUUGGUGGGGUGAUGGCCUACCAGGGCGGUGACGGGUAGCCGGCCUGAGAGGGUGGACGGUCACACUGGGACUGAGACACGGCCCAGACUCCUACGGGAGGCAGCAGUGGGGAAUAUUGCACAAUGGGCGCAAGCCUGAUGCAGCGACGCCGCGUGAGGGAUGGAGGCCUUCGGGUUGUGAACCUCUUUCGCCAGUGAAGCAGGCCUGCCUCGUUUGUGGGUGGGUUGACGGUAGCUGGAUAAGAAGCGCCGGCUAACUACGUG
This 494-nucleotide ribosomal RNA is filed under the name uncultured bacterium. Its description in RNAcentral is "partial 16S ribosomal RNA". It matches the Rfam family "Bacterial small subunit ribosomal RNA", at positions 28 to 507 of the family's 1533-position model. The record is from RNAcentral.